This 332-nucleotide ribosomal RNA is filed under the name uncultured eukaryote. RNAcentral describes it as "partial 18S ribosomal RNA". It matches the Rfam family "Eukaryotic small subunit ribosomal RNA", at positions 1470 to 1796 of the family's 1831-position model. The record is from RNAcentral.
CCCUUAGAUGUUCUGGGCGGCCCGCGCACUACAAUGGCGUGUGCAGCGAGUGCCGAAGUAGAGUUUUCCGAGGUAUUCUUGCAAUGCUCGUUUUGAUGGGGAUAGACCCUUGCAACUGUUGGUUUUGAACGAGGAAUUCCUUGUAAGCAUGGUUUAUCAUCCGACGCUGAAUGCGUCCCUGCCCUUUGUACACACCGCCCGUCGCUACUACCGAUCGGAUGGUUUAGUGAGACCCUCGGACUGGUCCCGCUGUCGGACAGGCAACUGUUUGCAGCGCGUGCGCCGGGAAGAAGGUCGAACUUGACUAUCUAGAGGAAGUAAAAGUCGUAACA